RNAcentral lists this ribosomal RNA (321 nucleotides) under uncultured eukaryote. RNAcentral's name for it is "partial 18S ribosomal RNA". It matches the Rfam family "Eukaryotic small subunit ribosomal RNA", at positions 1470 to 1796 of the family's 1831-position model. The record is from RNAcentral.
CCCUUAGAUGUCCUGGGCCGCACGCGCGCUACACUGACAUGUUCAACAAGCCUCCUAGUUCGACAGGAUUUGGGAAAUCUUUGAACGCAUGUCGUGAUAGGGAUAGAUCAUUGCAAUUAUUGAUCUUGAACGAGGAAUUCCUAGUAAACGCGAGUCAUCAGCUCGCAUUGAUUACGUCCCUGCCCUUUGUACACACCGCCCGUCGCACCUACCGAUUGAAUGUUUCGGUGAAGAUUCCGGAUAGGACUUUUUUGAUUUAUUUCAAUUUUGUCUUAAAAGCUAUCUAGACCUCAACAUUUAGAGGAAGGUGAAGUCGUAACA